AAGCGCUCAUGACCAGACUUGGGCUUGGUUGAUCAUCCAGGGUUCUCCCUGGUGCACUCUUCCAGCCCAGGCCAGCAUCAGUUCGCUGUGGGGGAUAAAGGCUUUGGGAAUGUAUCUACCUUCGGGUCGACUUAUAGCCCAGGUCGUAAUGUAGCCUACCUGGACCGAGGAACGCGCUUCGGCUCGGAUGCUGGCGUAAUGGU
This 203-nucleotide ribosomal RNA is filed under the name Hypocreales sp. RNAcentral's name for it is "partial large subunit ribosomal RNA". Lineage: Eukaryota; Fungi; Ascomycota; Sordariomycetes; Hypocreales. The record is from RNAcentral.